GUGGGGAAUAUUGGGCAAUGGGCGAAAGCCUGACCCAGCAACGCCGCGUGAAGGAAGAAGGUCUUCGGAUCGUAAACUUCUAUCCUUGGUGAAGAUAAUGACGGUAGCCGAGAAGGAAGCCCCGGCUAACUACGUGCCAGCAGCCGCGGUAAUACGUAGGGGGCAAGCGUUGUCCGGAAUGAUUGGGCGUAAAGGGCGCGUAGGCGGCCUGGUAAGUCUGGAGUGAAAGUCCUGCUUUUAAGGUGGGAAUUGCUUUGGAUACUGUCGGGCUUGAGUGCAGGGGAGGUAAGUGGAAUUCCCGGUGUAGCGGUGAAAUGCGUAGAGAUCGGGAGGAACACCAGUGGCGAAGGCGACUUACUGGACUGUAACUGACGCUGAGGCGCGAAAGUGUGGGGAGCAAACAGGAUUAGAUACCCGUGUAGUCC
This 425-nucleotide ribosomal RNA is filed under the name uncultured bacterium. Its description in RNAcentral is "partial 16S ribosomal RNA". It matches the Rfam family "Bacterial small subunit ribosomal RNA", at positions 354 to 796 of the family's 1533-position model. The record is from RNAcentral.